RNAcentral lists this ribosomal RNA (497 nucleotides) under uncultured bacterium. Its description in RNAcentral is "partial 16S ribosomal RNA". It matches the Rfam family "Bacterial small subunit ribosomal RNA", at positions 28 to 507 of the family's 1533-position model. The record is from RNAcentral.
GAUGAACGCUGGCGGCGUGCCUAAUACAUGCAAGUCGAGCGAACAGACGAGGAGCUUGCUCCUCUGACGUUAGCGGCGGACGGGUGAGUAACACGUGGAUAACCUACCUAUAAGACUGGGAUAACUUCGGGAAACCGGAGCUAAUACCGGAUAAUAUAUUGAACCGCAUGGUUCAAUAGUGAAAGACGGUUUUGCUGUCACUUAUAGAUGGAUCCGCGCCGCAUUAGCUAGUUGGUAGGGUAACGGCUUACCAAGGCGACGAUGCGUAGCCGACCUGAGGGGGUGAUCGGCCACACUGGAACUGAGACACGGUCCAGACUCCUACGGGAGGCAGCAGUAGGGAAUCUUCCGCAAUGGGCGAAAGCCUGACGGAGCAACGCCGCGUGAGUGAUGAAGGUCUUCGGAUCGUAAAACUCUGUUAUUAGGGAAGAACAAAUGUGUAAGUAACUAUGCACGUCUUGACGGUACCUAAUCAGAAAGCCACGGCUAACUACGUG